AACGAACGCUGGCGGCGUGCCUAACACAUGCAAGUCGUGCGAGAAAGUCUCCUUCGGGAGGCGAGUAAAGCGGCGCACGGGUGAGUAACACGUGGGUGAUCUGCCCAUCAGACGGGGACAACGAUUGGAAACGAUCGCUAAUACCGGAUAGGACGAAAGUUUAAAGGUGCUUCUGGCACCGCUGAUGGAUGAGCCUGCGGCGCAUUAGCUAGUUGGUAGGGUAAAGGCCUACCAAGGCGACGAUGCGUAGCCGACCUGAGAGGGUGAACGGCCACACUGGGACUGAGACACGGCCCAGACUCCUACGGGAGGCUG
RNAcentral lists this ribosomal RNA (315 nucleotides) under uncultured Bacillota bacterium. Its description in RNAcentral is "bacterial SSU rRNA". It matches the Rfam family "Bacterial small subunit ribosomal RNA", at positions 29 to 351 of the family's 1533-position model. Lineage: Bacteria; Bacillati; Bacillota. The record is from RNAcentral.